This 440-nucleotide ribosomal RNA is filed under the name uncultured bacterium. Its description in RNAcentral is "partial 16S ribosomal RNA". It matches the Rfam family "Bacterial small subunit ribosomal RNA", at positions 338 to 795 of the family's 1533-position model. The record is from RNAcentral.
CCUACGGGUGGCAGCAGUGGGGAAUAUUGCACAAUGGGGGAAACCCUGAUGCAGCGACGCCGCGUGAGUGAAGAAGUAUUUCGUUUUGUAAAGUCCUUUUAUUAGGGAAGAAUAUGACGGUAUCUGACUAAGAAGCACCGGCUAACUACGUGCCAGCAGCCGCGGUAAUACGGAGGGUGCAAGCGUUACUCGGAUUUACUGGGCGUAAAGGGUGCGUAGACGGCAGUAUAAGUCAGAUGUGAAAUCCUGGAGCUCAACCACAGGACUGCAUGUGAAACUGUUAGUCUGGAGUGCAGGAGAGGUAGGUGGAAUUCCUGGUGUAGCGGUGAAAUGCGUAGAGAUUAGGAGGAACACUAGUGGCGAAGGCGGCCUGCUGGACGAUGACUGACGCUGAGGCUCGAAAGCGUGGGGAGCAAACAGGAUUAGAUACCCGUGUAGUC